This is a long non-coding RNA of Anopheles gambiae (African malaria mosquito), 1939 nucleotides long. RefSeq lists it as uncharacterized. The transcript has 2 exons. NCBI's taxonomy places the organism in Eukaryota, Metazoa, Arthropoda, Insecta, Diptera, Culicidae. The record is from RefSeq and is a predicted model, not a curated record.
AAGAAAAUCUUAGAAGAUUCUCUAAAAGAUUCUCCACAAACACACAACAUUCCAACCGCAUCUGCACUGCCAGCUCAUCGGACGGUAAUUAAAGCUAAUUGUUGUUUUGCUUUUCACUUUCCGGAACACCGGUGACAUUAAGCACGAACUGGCUAAAUUAUCGUCCCCCCAACGCUAGCUGUCAAUCGUCUGCAUUUGACUAAUUGUCAUGGGACUAGGAACUGGGCACUAUCGAGCCCCCCCCCUUUGCCGGGCGAGACCUGUUCAAACCGCUUCACCCACCGGCGCAAAGCCGCAACCGGAUCGAACCGACUUCCUGCUGCUGCUGCUGCUGCUGUUGAUGGGCCGUCCACCUCUUUUAGUGCACAAUUCGAAUUGCGCAACUUAUUUACCGCAUGGGCAUGGGGGGACAUUUGCACUUGCACCGGUGGUAUAGCAAGCCAUAGGGUGAGGAGAAUGGGAUGGUAGGACCAGAUCAAACAAAACAGUUUCUUACAUAGUUUCACGAUCGUGAUAGUAAGAGGGGAUCUUACUGCCUCCGCUACCAUCCCGGUAAAGGGACGGCAAACAGUUCCCAGCGUUCUAAUGUUUAUUUAUACAAUUCCUUUACCUUUCCCGGUGUAUCGCACCAGCACCGUGUUCCCUUUGCGCUCCGGUACACUCCAGUGCGAACCGGUUUUUGCAUUGAUUUGAUGUAUGUGUAUGUGCUUCUCUCCAGUCGUCAACGAACGCCAACCAAGUGCCCACCCCUCCCUUGCUCGUUCCGCGAACGAUAAUUCGUGAUGAGUUUAUUAAGGGACUUUGGGACUUUUAAUAGCUACUAGCAGAAGUGCAUUCAAGCACACAAAUGCACACUUCAGCAACACUAUCAAGCACGUUAUCAGGCUGGAUUAAGCGUGGUAAAAAGUUGCUGACACACAGGUAGUUUGGCUCCGGCAAUGGCAUGGUGCAGCAGUAAGGACGUACUUGACUGCCGAUGGGCGAGAUAAGGAGACAAGGCAAAGGGAACGGUAAUCUUGAGCACAAACAGACGAACACAACGCUGAUCUGAUCAGCAAAUAAUCCCCGCAAGCAAGCAGGCAGGCAAGCACGGGGGAGAAAAUUGCGCCCGUCACGAUCACUUCCAUCGGGGUUGUUAUUGCUGUUGAAUACAACAUACAAUGGCAGCAUUUGUAAACGCAGCGCAUCGUCUUCUUUGCCUCGGUCAUUGGGCGGUCGUUUGCCCGCGGUGGUAUCCCAGUAGUGCAGUCCUCCCUCCCGGUGGCAGAAGCGCCACAGAACACCCCUCAUACGUGAAGGAAUUGCGCAGCAAAAUUUUCGGUUCAUUCGCUCGUUUCCCAGUUUGUUUCCGCGCUAGCGCCCUGGGAAUGGGGAAAGGGCACACCGCUACGUCACAUCGCACCACACACAUACAUACACGCAAAAAGGUCCUCAAAGAAAAACGCUCAUGUCAUCGCGAUUAUAUCGUGCUGUGCGUGCACCGGCAUGUGCCAAGUGGCGAUGCCUUCAUAAGUGGAAAUAGCUCGUCGCCUUCGCGCGAUAGUUAUUAUGUUGUUGAUUUUGAUGUCUUCACUUCACAUUAGAUAAUUUAUCGUGCUUCACGUAUUCCAAUAAGAAGUGGAAAAAUGAUUUUUAAAGGUUGCGAAUUUCAAAGCAACACCGUCGGUGUAAAUAAGCGUCACCCGGGCGAUGAAACUAUUGCUAGCGCAAUUGUAUUUGUAUAUUUACCGUCCCGUUCCUCGACCUCUGCGUCCGCCUGCUUCAAUGGUAAAUCAUUCUGUUUACACAACGACGAGCGACCGACCGACCGAUCUCGUGCCUGCGGGUCAGGAUGGCAACGUGCUUGACUUGGCAUGCUGGACGAUAGUGUGUCAGCAGGAUCGGAAGCAGGCACGACGUCUUGCUGACCAAUUUGCUAAUAAAAACGAAAUCAAGUGUG